RNAcentral lists this ribosomal RNA (1270 nucleotides) under metagenome. Its description in RNAcentral is "bacterial SSU rRNA". It matches the Rfam family "Bacterial small subunit ribosomal RNA", at positions 52 to 1325 of the family's 1533-position model. The record is from RNAcentral.
AGCAUGCAAGUCUAGGGGUUUUCAGUUAGCAAUAAUUGGAAGCACAGGCGCACGGGUGAGUAACACGUGAGAAUCUACCUUGAGAAGGGGGAUAGCCGAUAGAAAUAUCGGGUAAUACCGCGUAUGCCGAGAGGUGAAAGUUGCUUUUGCAACGUCUUGAGAUGAUCUUGCGUCCCAUUAGCUAGUUGGUAGGGUAAAGGCCUACCAAGGCGACGAUGGGUAGCCGGCCUGAGAGGGUGUACGGCCACAUUGGGACUGAGACACGGCCCAGACUCCUACGGGAGGCAGCAGCUAAGAAUAUUCCGCAAUGGGAGAUAUCCUGACGGAGCGACGCCGCGUGGACGAAGAAGGCAGAAAUGUAGUAAAGUCCUUUUAUACGGGAAGAAUAAGGCUAUCGAGAGAAACUUUAGCCGAUUACGGUACCGUAUGAAUAAGCCACGGCUAACUACGUGCCAGCAGCCGCGGUAAUACGUAGGUGGCAAGCGUUGUUCGGAAUUAUUGGGCGUAAAGGGCAUGUAGGCGGUUAGAUAAGUGUGGAUUGAAAGACCAUGGCUUAACCAUGAGUUUGGUCUGCAAACUGUCUGGCUAGAGUGCAGUAGGGGUAACUGGAAUUCCGCGUGUAGGGGUGAAAUCUGUAGAUAUGCGGAAGAAUACUUGUGGCGAAGGCGAGUUACUGGGCUGCUACUGACGCUGAAAUGCGAAAGUGUGGGGAGCAAACAGGAUUAGAUAUCCUGGUAGUCCACACUGUAAACGUUGUACACUAGGUGUCAAGGGUAUCGACCCCUUUGGUGCCGAAGCUAACGCGAUAAGUGUACCGCCUGGGGAGUAUGCUCGCAAGGGUGAAACUCAAAGGAAUUGACGGGGGCCCGCACAAGCGGUGAGUAUGUGGUUUAAUUCGAUGAUACGCGAAAAACCUUACCAGGGUUUGACAUACACAUGACAGAUUCAGAGAUGAGUCCUUUUCUUCGGAAACAUGUGUACAGGUGCUGCAUGGCUGUCGUCAGCUCGUGUUGUGAGAUGUUGGGUUAAGUCCCGCAACGAGCGCAACGCUUACUGUUAGUUGCCAUCAGGUAUGCUGGGAACUCUAACGGAACUGCCGGUGACAAACCGGAGGAAGGUGGGGAUGACGUCAAGUCCUCAUGGCCCUUAUGUCCUGGGCUACACACGUACUACAAUGGGCUGUACAAAGGGUCGCAAUCUCGCAAGAGGGAGCCAAUCCCAAAAAGCAGUCCGUAGUUCAGAUUGGAGUCUGCAACUCGACUCCAUGGAG